This 371-nucleotide ribosomal RNA is filed under the name uncultured cyanobacterium. Its description in RNAcentral is "bacterial SSU rRNA". It matches the Rfam family "Bacterial small subunit ribosomal RNA", at positions 408 to 795 of the family's 1533-position model. Lineage: Bacteria; Bacillati; Cyanobacteriota. The record is from RNAcentral.
AGGAAGGCUCUCGGGUUGUAAACCUCUUUUCUCAAGGAAGAUAAUGACGGUACUUGAGGAAUCAGCAUCGGCUAACUCCGUGCCAGCAGCCGCGGUAAUACGGAGGAUGCAAGCGUUAUCCGGAAUAAUUGGGCGUAAAGCGUUCGUAGGUGGUUUUGUAAGUCUGCUGUUAAAGCGUGUAGCUCAACUACAUAUAGGCAGUGGAAACUACAAGACUUGAGUGCGUUCGGGGUAGAGGGAAUUCCUGGUGUAGCGGUGAAAUGCGUAGAGAUCAGGAAGAACACCGGUGGCGAAGGCGCUCUACUAGACCGCAACUGACACUGAGGGACCGAAAGCUAGGGGAGCGAAUGGGAUUAGAUACCCCAGUAGUC